This 406-nucleotide ribosomal RNA is filed under the name uncultured bacterium. Its description in RNAcentral is "partial 16S ribosomal RNA". It matches the Rfam family "Bacterial small subunit ribosomal RNA", at positions 30 to 526 of the family's 1533-position model. The record is from RNAcentral.
AUUGAACGCUGGCGGCAGGCCUAACACAUGCAAGUCGAGCGAGCGGCGGACGGGUGAGUAAUGUAUGGGGAACUGCCCGAUAGAGGGGGAUAACUACUGGAAACGGUGGCUAAUACCGCAUACUAUCGGAUGUACCCAUAUGGGAUUAGCUAGUAGGUGGGGUAAAGGCUCACCUAGGCGACGAUCCCUAGCUGGUCUGAGAGGAUGAUCAGCCACACUGGAACUGAGACACGGCCCAGACGCCUACGAGAGGCAGCAGUGGGGAAUAUUGCACAAUGGGCGCAAGCCUGAUGCAGCCAUGCCGCGUGUAUGAAGAAGGCCUUAGGGUUGUAAAGUACUUUCAGCGGGGAGGCGUUACCCGCAGAAGAAGCACCGGCUAACUCCGUGCCAGCAGCCGCGGUAAUAC